RNAcentral lists this ribosomal RNA (486 nucleotides) under uncultured bacterium. RNAcentral describes it as "partial 16S ribosomal RNA". It matches the Rfam family "Bacterial small subunit ribosomal RNA", at positions 29 to 507 of the family's 1533-position model. The record is from RNAcentral.
AUUGAACGCUGGCGGCAUGCCUUACACAUGCAAGUCGAACGGCAGCACGGGUGCUUGCCCCUGGUGGCGAGUGGCGAACGGGUGAGUAAUACAUCGGAACAUGUCCUGUAGUGGGGGAUAGCCCGGCGAAAGCCGGAUUAAUACCGCAUACGAUCUACGGAUGAAAGCGGGGGGCCUUCGGGCCUCGCGCUGUUGGGUUGGCCGAUGGCUGAUUAGCUAGUUGGUGGGGUAAAGGGCUAUCAAGGCGACGAUCAGUAGCUGGUCGGAGAGGACGACCAGCCACACUGGGACGGAGACACGGCCCAGAGUCCUACGGGAGGCAGCAGUGGGGAAUGUUGGACAAUGGGCGAAAGCCUGAUCCAGCAAUGCCGCGUGUGAGAAGAAGGCCUUCGGGUUGUAAAGCACUUUUGUCCGGAAAGAAAUCCUUGGCCCUAAGACGGUCGGGGGAUGACGGUACCGGAAGAAUAAGCACCGGCUAACUACGUG